UCCCCCAAUGCCAUCUUUUAUGAAACCACCUUCCCUUUACACAUUCCUUCCCCACCUCAAACUACCUCCCCCCAUAUUGACUUACUUGAACCAGACCUAGAACCCUUAAUCCCUUCACCAACCACUACUCCUCUUCUUCCUUAUGAUUCUGCCCCUAACAGUCCCAACCAUUCCAUCCUUAUCCAUCCUCCCAUUGAUUAUCCCCCAACCCAUUCUGCCAUUAAUAUUUCUCCUCCCAUUGCUACUCCUCCCUUAGAAACUGCUCCCUUACGCCAAUCCACUAGGACUAUUCGACCCCCUAGUUACCUCAAAGAUUAUCACUACAACCUUCUUACAAACCAUUCCACCACAACUGUCACUUUCGAUGAUAAUCCAUUCCCCAUUUCCUCGGCUUUACACUAUAACAACUGUUCCUCACAAUAUAAAUUUUUUUGUCUCUCUAUUUCCUCAAUGGCUGAAGCAAAGACAUAUAAUCAGACUUGUAAAUCACCUUCCUGGAUAAAUGCUAUGCAAACUGAACUAAGUGCCUUAGCAUCCACUAACACCAGGUCCAUAGUUACUUUACCACCCAACAAGAAACCAAUAGCUUGCAAGUGGGUCUAUAAAAUUAAAUACAAUGCAGAUGGUUCCACUGAGCGCUACAAAGCUCACCUUGUGGCCAAAGGCUACACCCAAAUUGAAGGUAUCAAUUACUUCGACACAUUCUCUCCGAUUGUAAAGCUCACUACGAUUGCGAUUGGGCUACUUGCCCCAUUUCCAGAAAAUCUGUAACAGGUUAUGCGGUGUUCCUUGGCACAUCUCUCAUAUCGUAGAAAUCCAAAAAGCAAUCAACUGUUUCGCGUAGCAGCUCUGAGGCGGAAUACCGUGCCCUUGCAAGUCUAGCAUGCGAAAUACAAUGGCUCCACUACCUUUUCACAGAUCUCAACAGUCCUUUCACUCAUCCAACUUAUGUCUAUUGUGACAAUAAUUUUGCGAUAUAUCUAGCUCACAAUCUGUCAUUCCAUGAAAGAUCCAAACAUAUCGAGAUCGACUGCCACGUCAUCCAUGAAAAAGUCGAAGCUGACCUCCUUAAGCUGUUCCCCAUCAGCACGAAGACACAAGUAGUUGACUUCUUAACCAAGCAGCUCUACAGACCCGCCUUUGAAAGCCAUAUUUCCAAGCUUGGACUACUCAACCUUCAUAGUCCAGCUUGUGGGGGUGUCUCAAUUAUAGAAAAUAUAGACUAAGUCCUCUAUUUUAUAUAUGGCCUAUAUGUAUUUCCGUUUCUAUCUUUCCUCAUAUAUAGGAUAGUUAGUUAGUUUAUAUGUAUAUAAAUAUGGGACUUUCCCUUAAUAAUCAUACAGAGAGUUCUAUUGUUUGUUUGUUGUAAUGACGUGUUCUAUUCUAAUGAGAACAUUGUGAUCAACACUACAGAAACCGAACCCUAACCUAACUAAAGUGCUCGGUCCGACCACAUUAGCAACAAAUUACAACAAUUAACAUGGGAAAAUAUUAAGGAGUGUGCAGAAAUGUAAAAUCAAUAAGAUUGUACUAAAUCAGAGCUCCGGCGAGGGGUCUAAGCUCCGAAGAGUUCAAAAUUCUCAGGUACCGUUUAUUCUAUUUCAACUUUCUUUCUUUAUAUUCUUCUCUUACUUAUCCUUCUAAUUCUUAUGUUACUUCUUAUUCUAUGUGUGCUGCUAAUGCAUGUUGUUGAGGCGAUCUCUAGAAGAAUGUGAGCCCGACCUUAUCAGCAAAAGACAUGUUGGAAGACCCUGAUGCACUCUAUUUCCUCUAAAGAAUAUUCAAAGCAGUGUUAGAAGAACUUGCUUCAAUUCUCGCCGACCAUAUCCCCAUCUUAAAAGGCGUAGAUUUACUUUGUCCUUCAUCAAAUCUGCACACAAUCAUGAUCGUAAGAAUAUGCCAUGAAUAAGAAAAAUAAAGACAAAAAUUUAGAGCUUCCGAAACUUACUGAAAAUGAAUUUACUUUCUUCCUGGAGCGGUCCUCCAUCAAAAAUUGAAUAUCAAUUAGGCGCUGCAAGCGUUUCAGGCCAGCCUCCUCCGUGGGGGUGUCUCGCUCCCUGUAACCCAGGUCACUGAUAAAGCUCAUAAUCUAUUUCUUUUGGUACAAAACUUUUGUAGUGAUACCCUCAUUUUUAUAGACAUACACCCAACUUUCCAUAAGAAAGUGAGUCUGAAUCCAGUACUUAGGGAACAACUGAGCAAAUCUGCCCUUCACUCCAUCCCCACUAGCGUAAACCGUAGCGUGAGCCUCAGGAUGGAUAAGGGUGACCAGAAAGACCGAUCUUCAAAAGGAGGUUGCUUGGGAAGAGUCCCAAAGCCCCGGGCGAUCAGCACCAGAGAAAUCAAUCCCCUACUCUGUGUUUGAGUUGCAGGACUCCAACGACAACAAAAGAGAUGAAAGAAAAGGGCCAGAGAAGGCUUCUCUUUCAAGUAUUCACACAAAUACUAGAAGAAUUGAACAUAUGCCCAACUUUAUGAACGAAGUUGUGAAGGAGACAUUAACGGGUGAUUAAUAACAUGAAGAUGAUAAAAAUACACAAGAAUGAAGGGGGUUGAGUUUUGUAUGCCGAAAAAAUUCUUUUCACUUAUGAUUCUAGAACAUCAGAUUCUAAACUAGGUUCAGAGUCUGAUACCAGAGUGAGUAACAACAAUGAAAGAUUUACUUCCUUUUAUUAACUCUAUUUUAUAACAUAAGGUGUCAAGCUCAGAAUCUGAUACAGGUAAGAGGUUGAAUCAGAUUAGAGUCUAACUUCUGAGUUUGUUGCACAUCUGAAUAUAAAUUUCAAAAGUAAAUAAAUAGACACACAAUACAUCUUGGUUCCUCUCAAA
This is a long non-coding RNA of Lathyrus oleraceus (garden pea), 2829 nucleotides long. RefSeq lists it as uncharacterized. Lineage: Eukaryota; Viridiplantae; Streptophyta; Magnoliopsida; Fabales; Fabaceae. The transcript has 2 exons. The record is from RefSeq and is a predicted model, not a curated record.